This 329-nucleotide unclassified non-coding RNA is filed under the name soil metagenome. RNAcentral describes it as "partial contains 5.8S ribosomal RNA, internal transcribed spacer 2, and large subunit ribosomal RNA". The stretch from base 1 to 120 matches the Rfam family "5.8S ribosomal RNA", at positions 35 to 154 of the family's 154-position model. The record is from RNAcentral.
GAUGAAGAACGUAGCGAAAUGCGAUAAGUAAUGUGAAUUGCAGAAUUCAGUGAAUCAUCGAAUCUUUGAACGCACAUUGCGCCCCUUGGUAAUCCGAGGGGCAUGCCUGUUCGAGCGUCAUUAUAACCCCUCAAGCUCAGCUUGGUGUUGGGGCCUGCUGCACUGGCAGCCCUUAAAAUCAGUGGCGGCGCCAUCUGGCUCUAAGCGUAGUAAUUCUUCUCGCUAUGGAGUCCUGGUGGAUGCUUGCCAUCAACCCCCAAUUUUUCUAUGGUUGACCUCGGAUCAGGUAGGGAUACCCGCUGAACUUAAGCAUAUCAAUAAGCGGAGGA